CUAGCCCCCAUGUCUUGUCAACUUUGAGCUCCUGAAUCUGUCUACCCACCUCCGGGCCCCGGACCCCUCCACCCCGGACCUGGGAAAAGGCCCCUUACCUGAUCCCCAGAAGCCCUUGGCCUGUCCAAACCCGUCUCCAUACUCAGUGAGGUUUUCCAAGUACAGAUCUGACUGAAGUCCCCUGCGGCAGCCCUGUGCUGACAUCCAUUGCCCCAAGGAUAAAGACCUGGGUCCUCAGUCCCUCCACAGCAGCCUGCACCCAAGUCCCCUCGCUGAGCUCCAGCCACUGGCCCCGCUGGGCAGAAGUGACCAUGUGAUACAGAGCUCCCGCCUCCCCGGAGUGGGAUGCUCUGUGGCUGCGUGUGCCCUACAGCAGCACGGUUCAGUAGGCAGAGGCCACUUCUACUACCCGGCUAAGGAAAAGAUGGGCAGAGCCUGCUCUGGAUGACGCUGUGUUCCAGCCGGCGGAGAGGGUCCCCCAUUUCCUCGGAACUAAUCCUCCAGGAAAUUAACAGACAGUUUGCUGUGGACAACUAGAGCCCUCCCCUUCCUUAGCCCUGAGCGAGGUAAACAAUUCUGCUCUGCCUUCCGGAAGUUUCAAAUUAGCUCUUCAACCAGCGUUUUCACGCAGCUUCCAGUCCUGCCACAGUCUUGAAGAAGAGAUCAGCUUUCGCGUCUUCAUUCUUGCCAAGAUUAGCUGCCCUUCGAAUCUCCCGUGUGUCAUUAAUCCCAGCACGAACAAGCACUUGGGAACUGCGGGCUGCAGAUGGUCUGCUUAUCCUACGGAACCCUCCUCUUUUGAGGCUUAACCCCUUUAGUCUUUGUUGCUUCUGUAGCUUUCUGAUGCCAUUAAAGAGAUGAUUUUUAUA
Molecule: long non-coding RNA, 869 nt
Organism: Homo sapiens (human)
Lineage: Eukaryota; Metazoa; Chordata; Mammalia; Primates; Hominidae
Source: Ensembl